This 497-nucleotide ribosomal RNA is filed under the name uncultured bacterium. Its description in RNAcentral is "partial 16S ribosomal RNA". It matches the Rfam family "Bacterial small subunit ribosomal RNA", at positions 28 to 507 of the family's 1533-position model. The record is from RNAcentral.
GACGAACGCUGGCGGCGUGCCUAAUACAUGCAAGUAGAACGCUGAAGGAAGGAGCUUGCUCUUUCUGGAUGAGUUGCGAACGGGUGAGUAACGCGUAGGUAACCUGCCUGGUAGCGGGGGAUAACUAUUGGAAACGAUAGCUAAUACCGCAUAAAAUUGAUUAUUGCAUGAUAGUCAAUUAAAAGGUGCAACUGCACCACUACCAGAUGGACCUGCGUUGUAUUAGCUAGUUGGUGGGGUAACGGCUCACCAAGGCGACGAUACAUAGCCGACCUGAGAGGGUGAUCGGCCACACUGGGACUGAGACACGGCCCAGACUCCUACGGGAGGCAGCAGUAGGGAAUCUUCGGCAAUGGACGGAAGUCUGACCGAGCAACGCCGCGUGAGUGAAGAAGGUUUUCGGAUCGUAAAGCUCUGUUGUAAGAGAAGAACGAGUGUGAGAGUGGAAAGUUCACACUGUGACGGCAUCUUACCAGAAAGGGACGGCUAACUACGUG